UAAUUUGAGAGUUUGAUCCUGGCUCAGGACGAACGCUGGCGGCGUGCCUAAUACAUGCAAGUCGAACGAACUCUGGUAUUGAUUGGUGCUUGCAUCAUGAUUUACAUUUGAGUGAGUGGCGAACUGGUGAGUAACACGUGGGAAACCUGCCCAGAAGCGGGGGAUAACACCUGGAAACAGAUGCUAAUACCGCAUAACAACUUGGACCGCAUGGUCCGAGCUUGAAAGAUGGCUUCGGCUAUCACUUUUGGAUGGUCCCGCGGCGUAUUAGCUAGAUGGUGGGGUAACGGCUCACCAUGGCAAUGAUACGUAGCCGACCUGAGAGGGUAAUCGGCCACAUUGGGACUGAGACACGGCCCAAACUCCUACGGGAGGCAGCAGUAGGGAAUCUUCCACAAUGGACGAAAGUCUGAUGGAGCAACGCCGCGUGAGUGAAGAAGGGUUUCGGCUCGUAAAACUCUGUUGUUAAAGAAGAACAUAUCUGAGAGUAACUGUUCAGGUAUUGACGGUAUUUAACCAGAAAGCCACGGCUAACUACGUGCCAGCAGCCGCGGUAAUACGUAGGUGGCAAGCGUUGUCCGGAUUUAUUGGGCGUAAAGCGAGCGCAGGCGGUUUUUUAAGUCUGAUGUGAAAGCCUUCGGCUCAACCGAAGAAGUGCAUCGGAAACUAGGAAACUUGAGUGCAGAAGAGGACAGUGGAACUCCAUGUGUAGCGGUGAAAUGCGUAGAUAUAUGGAAGAACACCAGUGGCGAAGGCGGCUGUCUGGUCUGUAACUGACGCUGAGGCUCGAAAGUAUGGGUAGCAAACAGGAUUAGAUACCCUGGUAGUCCAUACCGUAAACGAUGAAUGCUAAGUGUUGGAGGGUUUCCGCCCUUCAGUGCUGCAGCUAACGCAUUAAGCAUUCCGCCUGGGGAGUACGGCCGCAAGGCUGAAACUCAAAGGAAUUGACGGGGGCCCGCACAAGCGGUGGAGCAUGUGGUUUAAUUCGAAGCUACGCGAAGAACCUUACCAGGUCUUGACAUACUAUGCAAAUCUAAGAGAUUAGACGUUCCCUUCGGGGACAUGGAUACAGGUGGUGCAUGGUUGUCGUCAGCUCGUGUCGUGAGAUGUUGGGUUAAGUCCCGCAACGAGCGCAACCCUUAUUAUCAGUUGCCAGCAUUAAGUUGGGCACUCUGGUGAGACUGCCGGUGACAAACCGGAGGAAGGUGGGGAUGACGUCAAAUCAUCAUGCCCCUUAUGACCUGGGCUACACACGUGCUACAAUGGAUGGUACAACGAGUUGCGAACUCGCGAGAGUAAGCUAAUCUCUUAAAGCCAUUCUCAGUUCGGAUUGUAGGCUGCAACUCGCCUACAUGAAGUCGGAAUCGCUAGUAAUCGCGGAUCAGCAUGCCGCGGUGAAUACGUUCCCGGGCCUUGUACACACCGCCCGUCACACCAUGAGAGUUUGUAACACCCAAAGUCGGUGGGGUAACCUUUUAGGAACCAGCCGCCUAAGGUGGGACAGAUGAUUAGGGUGAAGUCGUAACAAGGUAGCCGUAGGAGAACCUGCGGCUGGAUCACCUCCUUU
This 1567-nucleotide ribosomal RNA is filed under the name Lactiplantibacillus plantarum. Its description in RNAcentral is "16S ribosomal RNA". It matches the Rfam family "Bacterial small subunit ribosomal RNA". The record is from RNAcentral. Lineage: Bacteria; Bacillati; Bacillota; Bacilli; Lactobacillales; Lactobacillaceae. RNAcentral also lists the same sequence under 1 other name.